GAAACCUGUCAAAAGAUCUUUUAUAAAGCCA
This 31-nucleotide non-coding RNA is filed under the name Mus musculus (house mouse). The record is from RNAcentral. Lineage: Eukaryota; Metazoa; Chordata; Mammalia; Rodentia; Muridae.